This 465-nucleotide ribosomal RNA is filed under the name Staphylococcus aureus. Its description in RNAcentral is "bacterial SSU rRNA". It matches the Rfam family "Bacterial small subunit ribosomal RNA", at positions 339 to 796 of the family's 1533-position model. The record is from RNAcentral. Lineage: Bacteria; Bacillati; Bacillota; Bacilli; Caryophanales; Staphylococcaceae.
CUACGGGAGGCAGCAGUAGGGAAUCUUCCGCAAUGGGCGAAAGCCUGACGGAGCAACGCCGCGUGAGUGAUGAAGGUCUUCGGAUCGUAAAACUCUGUUAUUAGGGAAGAACAUAUGUGUAAGUAACUGUGCACAUCUUGACGGUACCUAAUCAAAAAGCCACGGCUAACUACGUGCCAGCAGCCGCGGUAAUACGUAGGUGGCAAGCGUUAUCCGGAAUUACUGGGCGUAAAGCGCGCGUAGGUGGUUUGUUAAGUCUGAUGUGAAAUCCCACGGCUCAACCGGGGAGGGUCAUUGGAAACUGGAAAACUUGAGUGCGGAAGAGGAAAGUGGAAUUCCAUGUGUAGCGGUGAAAUGCGCAGAGAUAUGGAGGAACACCAGUGGCGAAGGCGACUUUCUGGUCUGUAACUGACGCUGAUGUGCGAAAGCGUGGGGAUCAAACAGGAUUAGAUACCCUGGUAGUCC